GACCGGAGCUAUCAACCACUCAGCCAUCUCUCC
RNAcentral lists this transfer RNA (33 nucleotides) under Piresia sp. 'morpho B' ILCO-2017. Its description in RNAcentral is "partial tRNA-Ser". Lineage: Eukaryota; Viridiplantae; Streptophyta; Magnoliopsida; Poales; Poaceae. The record is from RNAcentral.